RNAcentral lists this ribosomal RNA (302 nucleotides) under uncultured bacterium. Its description in RNAcentral is "bacterial SSU rRNA". It matches the Rfam family "Bacterial small subunit ribosomal RNA", at positions 28 to 334 of the family's 1533-position model. The record is from RNAcentral.
GAUGAACGCUGGCGGCGUGCUUAACACAUGCAAGUCGAACGGUAACAGGUCUUCGGACGCUGACGAGUGGCGAACGGGUGAGUAAUACAUCGGAACGUGCCCAGUCGUGGGGGAUAACUACUCGAAAGAGUAGCUAAUACCGCAUACGAUCUGAGGAUGAAAGCGGGGGACCUUCGGGCCUCGCGCGAUUGGAGCGGCCGAUGGCAGAUUAGGUAGUUGGUGGGAUAACGGCCUACCAAGUCGACGAUCCAUAGCCGGACUGAGAGGUUGAACGGCCACAUUGGGACUGAGACACGGCCCAG